GAGGAAGGUGGGGAUGACGUCAAAUCAUCAUGCCCUUUAUGUACCUGGGCUACAAACGUACUACAAUGGCCAAUACAAAGAGAUGCGAAGCGGUGACGUGGAGCGAACCUCAGAAAGUUGGUCUCAGUUCAGAUUGAAGUCUGCAACUCGACUUCAUGAAGGCGGAAUCGCUAGUAAUCGCGGGUCAGCAGACCGCGGUGAAUACGUUCCCGGGUUUU
This 218-nucleotide ribosomal RNA is filed under the name uncultured Mollicutes bacterium. RNAcentral's name for it is "partial 16S ribosomal RNA". It matches the Rfam family "Bacterial small subunit ribosomal RNA", at positions 1166 to 1382 of the family's 1533-position model. The record is from RNAcentral. Lineage: Bacteria; Bacillati; Mycoplasmatota; Mollicutes.